This 506-nucleotide ribosomal RNA is filed under the name uncultured bacterium. RNAcentral describes it as "partial 16S ribosomal RNA". It matches the Rfam family "Bacterial small subunit ribosomal RNA", at positions 29 to 523 of the family's 1533-position model. The record is from RNAcentral.
AUUGAACGCUGGCGGCAGGCCUAACACAUGCAAGUCGAACGGCAGCACAGAAGAGCUUGCUCUUUGGGUGGCGAGUGGCGGACGGGUGAGUAAUGUCUGGGAAACUGCCCGAUGGAGGGGGAUAACUACUGGAAACGGUAGCUAAUACCGCAUAACGUCGCAAGACCAAAGUGGGGGACCUUCGGGCCUCACACCAUCGGAUGUGCCCAGAUGGGAUUAGCUAGUAGGUGGGGUAAUGGCUCACCUAGGCGACGAUCCCUAGCUGGUCUGAGGGGAGGACCAGCCACACUGGAACUGAGACAAGGUCCAGACUCCUACGGGAGGCAGCAGUGGGGAAUAUUGCACAAUGGGCGCAAGCCUGAUGCAGCCAUGCCGCGUGUAUGAAGAAGGCCUUCGGGUUGUAAAGUACUUUCAGCGGGGAGGAAGGCGGUGAGGUUAAUAACCUUGCCGAUUGACGUUACCCGCAGAAGAAGCACCGGCUAACUCCGUGCCAGCCGCCGCCGUAA